UACGGAGGGGGCAAGCGUUGUUCGGAUUUACUGGGUGUAAAGGGUGCGUAGGCGGCUUGACAAGUUAGAUGUGAAAUCUCCGGGCUCAACCCGGAAACUGCAUUUAAUACUGUUAGGCUAGAGUGCGAGAGAGGGAGAUGGAAUUCUCGGUGUAAGAGUGAAAUCUGCAGAUAUCGAGAGGAACACCAGUUGCGAAGGCGAUCUCCUGGCUCGACACUGACGCUGAGGUGCGAAAGCGUGGGGAGCAAACAGG
This 253-nucleotide ribosomal RNA is filed under the name uncultured bacterium. RNAcentral describes it as "partial 16S ribosomal RNA". It matches the Rfam family "Bacterial small subunit ribosomal RNA", at positions 524 to 776 of the family's 1533-position model. The record is from RNAcentral.